This 403-nucleotide long non-coding RNA is filed under the name Pan troglodytes (chimpanzee). RNAcentral describes it as "long non-coding RNA NONPTRT003004". Lineage: Eukaryota; Metazoa; Chordata; Mammalia; Primates; Hominidae. The record is from RNAcentral.
CCCCUCACCAGACUUUACAGUCCAAGAAAAUACGAAUUUUUUUCAACUUACCAACAGAUGUCAACUUCCUAUUUUAUUCCCUGACUCAUAGUAGGUAUUUUAGCGAAUACAUUUUGAAAGAAUGUGUAACAUAUUUAAUUGGCAACUGAUAUAAUUAUUUAUAGAUUUACAGUACAACAGUUUUGAAAUUCUUUACUCACUGAUUCCAUACUAUAAUUUCCUUUUUUUAACUUUUGGUUCAAAUAAAAUGAGAAUCAUAGCUUCUAGAAGAGGUUCUGUGACAAUAUGAAAGCAUCAAUUCACAAAUCUAGAAAUUUAGCUGUCUACUUUUGCAUGUCUCUCUAGCUAAAAAUUGCUUUCAUAUUUUUAAAUGGUUUGAAGAAAUCAGAAGAAUGAUAUGUUG